AUUUAGAUAGCUUAAGUUUAAAGCCUAAUAUUGAAGAUAUUAUGAUGGGAUUGAAUCCCUUUAAAUA
RNAcentral lists this transfer RNA (67 nucleotides) under Opistholeptus burmanus. RNAcentral describes it as "tRNA-Phe". It matches the Rfam family "tRNA". Rfam says of the family: Transfer RNA (tRNA) molecules are approximately 80 nucleotides in length. Lineage: Eukaryota; Metazoa; Arthropoda; Insecta; Hemiptera; Pachygronthidae. The record is from RNAcentral.